Molecule: ribosomal RNA, 606 nt
Filed under: Nocardia brasiliensis
Lineage: Bacteria; Bacillati; Actinomycetota; Actinomycetes; Mycobacteriales; Nocardiaceae
Description: bacterial SSU rRNA
Rfam family: Bacterial small subunit ribosomal RNA
Source: RNAcentral
GCUUAACACAUGCAAGUCGAGCGGUAAGGCCCUUCGGGGUACACGAGCGGCGAACGGGUGAGUAACACGUGGGUGAUCUGCCUCGCACUUCGGGAUAAGCCUGGGAAACUGGGUCUAAUACCGGAUAUGACCUUUCAGUGCAUGCUGUUGGGUGGAAAGAUUUAUCGGUGCGAGAUGGGCCCGCGGCCUAUCAGCUUGUUGGUGGGGUAACGGCCCACCAAGGCGACGACGGGUAGCCGACCUGAGAGGGUGACCGGCCACACUGGGACUGAGACACGGCCCAGACUCCUACGGGAGGCAGCAGUGGGGAAUAUUGCACAAUGGGCGGAAGCCUGAUGCAGCGACGCCGCGUGAGGGAUGACGGCCUUCGGGUUGUAAACCUCUUUCGACAGGGACGAAGCGCAAGUGACGGUACCUGUAGAAGAAGCACCGGCCAACUACGUGCCAGCAGCCGCGGUAAUACGUAGGGUGCGAGCGUUGUCCGGAAUUACUGGGCGUAAAGAGCUUGUAGGCGGUUUGUCGCGUCGUCCGUGAAAACUUGGGGCUCAACCCCAAGCUUGCGGGCGAUACGGGCAGACUUGAGUACUUCAGGGGAGACUGGAAUUC